AUACGGAGGGUGCAAGCGUUGCUCGGAAUUACUGGGCGUAAAGCGUACGCAGGCGGCGCAUCAAGUCGGAUGUGAAAGCCCUGGGCUCAACCCAGGAACUGCAUUCGAAACUGGUGUGCUUGAGUCCGAGAGAGGGUGGUGGAAUUCCUGGUGUAGAGGUGAAAUUCGUUGAGAUCAGGAGGAACAUCAGCGGCGAAGGCGGCCACCUGGCUCGGUACUGACGCUCAUGUACGAAAGCGUGGGUAGCAAACAGGAUUAGAUACCCUGGUAGUCCACGCCGUAAACGAUGGAUGCUAGGUGUCGGAGGAUUCACCCCUUCGGUGCCGAAGUUAACGCAUUAAGCAUCCCGCCUGGGGAGUACGGUCGCAAGAUUAAA
This 376-nucleotide ribosomal RNA is filed under the name uncultured Pseudobdellovibrionaceae bacterium. RNAcentral describes it as "bacterial SSU rRNA". It matches the Rfam family "Bacterial small subunit ribosomal RNA", at positions 523 to 898 of the family's 1533-position model. Lineage: Bacteria; Pseudomonadati; Bdellovibrionota; Bdellovibrionia; Bdellovibrionales; Pseudobdellovibrionaceae. The record is from RNAcentral.